RNAcentral lists this ribosomal RNA (478 nucleotides) under uncultured bacterium. Its description in RNAcentral is "partial 16S ribosomal RNA". It matches the Rfam family "Bacterial small subunit ribosomal RNA", at positions 28 to 523 of the family's 1533-position model. The record is from RNAcentral.
AACGAACGCUGGCGGCGUGCUCAACACAUGCAAGUCGAACGGUAAGGCCCUUCGGGGUACACGAGUGGCGAACGGGUGAGUAACACGUGGGUGAUCUGCCCUGCACUUCGGGAUAAGCCUGGGAAACUGGGUCUAAUACCGGAUAGGACUCCGGACUGCAUGGUCUGGGGUGGAAAGCUUUUGCGGUGUGGGAUGGGCCCGCGGCCUAUCGGCUUGUUGGUGGGGUGAUGGCCUACCAAGGCGACGACGGGUAGCCGGCCUGAGAGGGUGACCGGCCACACUGGGACUGAGAUACGGCCCAGACUCCUACGGGAGGCAGCAGUGGGGAAUAUUGCACAAUGGGCGCAAGCCUGAUGCAGCGACGCCGCGUGAGGGAUGACGGCCUUCGGGUUGUAAACCUCUUUCAGCAUCGACGAAGCGAAAGUGACGGUAGGUGCAGAAGAAGGACCGGCCAACUACGUGCCAGCAGCCGCGGUAA